UACGUAGGGUGCAAGCGUUGUCCGGAAUUAUUGGGCGUAAGGAGCUCGUAGGCGGUCAGUCGCGUCUGCUGUGAAAACUCGGGGCUUAACCCCGGGCCUGCAGUGGGUACGGGCUGACUAGAGUGCGGUAGGGGAGACUGGAAUUCCUGGUGUAGCGGUGAAAAUGCGCAGAUAUCAGGAGGAACACCGGUGGCGAAGGCGGGUCUCUGGGCCGAUACUCGUGAGGAGCGAAAAGCGUGGGGGAGCGAACAGG
RNAcentral lists this ribosomal RNA (253 nucleotides) under uncultured bacterium. Its description in RNAcentral is "partial 16S ribosomal RNA". It matches the Rfam family "Bacterial small subunit ribosomal RNA", at positions 524 to 776 of the family's 1533-position model. The record is from RNAcentral.